AAAUCCAAGCUCAGGAUAGCCCCGGGCGUGUGACAGGAAUUAAUUCUUGCCUCUCUCCGCAGUGCCAGGGCCUCGCCACGCGAUUUGGGCACAGAAGUGGAGGGUGGUAGCAUGCUGCUGCCCACCUCCUGGGACCUCCAGGACGGUGCCUGCUGAGAAAAGGCCCCAAGGAGGAGGGAGACCAGGAGGAGAGCAAGGAAGAGGAGGGCAAGCUGCUGUGCGUGACCAAGGAAACCGAGAGCUGGCUGCCCUUGUGAACUUGCCGAGUGCCUGAUGGAGAACGCGAGGAGAAGAGAGCUGGGGGAGUAUGAAAAACAUUACUUCUCUCCUGCUUAUUGGCGGAGGCAAGAUUGAUUGACUAUAUUUGCUGUACUGGAGAAUUCAUUGAGGCUUCUUCCCCAGCUGCUCAUCUGGCAAGAUCAUCAAGGCUGGGUGAUGACAGACCAACAGCAUGUGACGAGGGGCAUAGCCCCUCAUCUCGGGGUGAAGCUGGCAUCCUAAUGCAGAUAACAAGCCUCCCUGACAAAGGGAACAGAGGAUCAGCAUCAUUUUCUAAGCAUCAUAGAGCUCUGGGACAUCGAUCUACUUGUACUGAGACCAUCGUUGCUUUUGAAGCAGUUCUACUGGAGGCAAUAUUUCUGCCUUCGGGGCCUCCAAAAACUGAAGGAGGCAGCAAAAAGGUGGUGCUGCCAUCACUUGGUGGUGCACCAGCUGUGAUACAGGGCUGGGCUGGAGGAAACAGGGGAGACGAGAUUCAAGGGGUAGUUUUUCCCUUCAGGAGGCGAUGCAGGUGCAGCAGAGCGGUGAAACCCCGGGAGCGUGACGGAAAUCCAGAGCCUGGCUGUGGCUGUGCAAACCUGCUCUGUGUCCUCCCAGCCAGCACGGUUUGGGCUGGGGAACUGACCCCACCCCGCCAUCUCUGCCUGGGAUAA
RNAcentral lists this long non-coding RNA (932 nucleotides) under Anas platyrhynchos platyrhynchos (common mallard). RNAcentral's name for it is "lncRNA (ENSAPLG00000023042.1)". Lineage: Eukaryota; Metazoa; Chordata; Aves; Anseriformes; Anatidae. The record is from RNAcentral.